RNAcentral lists this ribosomal RNA (730 nucleotides) under uncultured bacterium. Its description in RNAcentral is "bacterial SSU rRNA". It matches the Rfam family "Bacterial small subunit ribosomal RNA", at positions 794 to 1523 of the family's 1533-position model. The record is from RNAcentral.
UCCACACCGUAAANGAUGAACACUAGGUGUUAGAGGGUUUCCGCCCUUUAGUGCNGAAGUUAACGCAUUAAGUGUUCCGCCUGGGGAGUACGACCGCAAGGUUGGAACUCAAAGGAAUUGACGGGGACCCGCACAAGCGGUGGAGCAUGUGGUUUAAUUNGAAGCAACGCGAAGAACCUUACCAGGUCUUGACAUCCUUUGAAGGUACUAGAGAUAGUACUGUUUUCUUCGGAAACAAAGUGACAGGUGGUGCAUGGCCGUCGUCAGCUCGUGUCGUGAGAUGUUGGGUUAAGUCCCGCAACGAGCGCAACCCUUAUGUUUAGUUGCCAGCAUUCAGUUGGGCACUCUAGACAGACUGCCGGUGACAAACCGGAGGAAGGCGGGGACGACGUCAGGUCAUCAUGCCCCUUAUGACCUGGGCUACACACGUGCUACAAUGGCGUAUACAACGAGCAGCGAACUCGCGAGGGUAAGCGAAUCUCUUAAAGUACGUCUCAGUUCGGAUUGUAGUCUGCAACUCGACUACAUGAAGUCGGAAUCGCUAGUAAUCGCGGAUCAGCAUGCCGCGGUGAAUACGUUCCCGGGUCUUGUACACACCGCCCGUCACACCAUGGGAGUUUGUAAUGCCCAAAGCCGGUGGCCUAACCUUUUGGAAGGAGCCGUCUAAGGCAGGACAGAUGACUGGGGAGAAGUCGUAACAAGGUAGCCGUAGGAGAACCUGCGGCUGGAU